UACGGAGGAUGCAAGCGUUAUCCGGAUUUAUUGGGUUUAAAGGGUCCGCAGGCGGGUUCUUAAGUCAGGGGUGAAAGCCUACAGCUUAACUGUAGAAUUGCCUUUGAUACUGGGAGUCUUGAGUAUAGUAGAAGUGGGCGGAAUACGUCAUGUAGCGGUGAAAUGCAUAGAUAUGACGUGGAACACCGAUUGCGAAGGCAGCUCACUAUGUUAUAACUGACGCUGAGGGACGAAAGCGUGGGGAGCAAACAGG
RNAcentral lists this ribosomal RNA (253 nucleotides) under uncultured bacterium. Its description in RNAcentral is "partial 16S ribosomal RNA". It matches the Rfam family "Bacterial small subunit ribosomal RNA", at positions 524 to 776 of the family's 1533-position model. The record is from RNAcentral.